This is a microRNA precursor of Oryza sativa Japonica Group (Japanese rice), 196 nucleotides long. It matches the Rfam family "MIR812 microRNA precursor family". NCBI's taxonomy places the organism in Eukaryota, Viridiplantae, Streptophyta, Magnoliopsida, Poales, Poaceae. The record is from Rfam.
AACCGCGGGUUCCCGUGCCAACGUUUGACUGUCCGUCUUAUAUGAAUUUUUUUUAUAAUUAGUAUUUUCAUUGUUGUUAGAUGAUAAAACAUGAUUAAUACUUUAUACGUGACUUGUCUUUUUAAUUUUUUUCAUAAUUUUUUCAAAUAAGACGAACGGUCAAACGUUGGACACGGAAACCAGGGUUUGUCUUUUU